This 292-nucleotide ribosomal RNA is filed under the name uncultured eukaryote. RNAcentral's name for it is "partial 18S ribosomal RNA". It matches the Rfam family "Eukaryotic small subunit ribosomal RNA", at positions 6 to 259 of the family's 1831-position model. The record is from RNAcentral.
GGUUGAUCCUGCCAGUAGUCAUAUGCUUGUCUCAAAGAUUAAGCCAUGCAUGUCUAAGUAUAAGCUUGUUUAUACGGCGAGACUGCGGAUGGCUCAUUAAAUCAGUUAUAGUUUAUUUGAUGGUCUCUUUCAUUUUUUUUACCUACUUGGAUAACCGUGGUAAUUCUAGAGCUAAUACAUGCGCAAGGUCCCAAGCGCGGGGCGACUCCUCGUGGGUCGCUCGCAUGUGCAGCGGGAUGUAUUUAUUAGGUUAAAAACCAGCAUUCAAAACUUCACUGGUGAUUCAUAGUAA